AGUGGGGAAUAUUGGACAAUGGGGGGAACCCUGAUCCAGCCAUGCCGCGUGUGUGAAGAAGGCCUUUUGGUUGUAAAGCACUUUAAGCAGUGAAGAAGACCUAACGGUUAAUACCCGUUAGCGAUGACAUUAGCUGCAGAAUAAGCACCGGCUAACUCUGUGCCAGCAGCCGCGGUAAUACAGAGGGUGCAAGCGUUAAUCGGAAUUACUGGGCGUAAAGCGAGCGUAGGUGGCUUGAUAAGUCAGAUGUGAAAUCCCCGGGCUUAACCUGGGAACUGCAUCUGAUACUGUUAAGCUAGAGUAGGUGAGAGGGAAGUAGAAUUCCAGGUGUAGCGGUGAAAUGCGUAGAGAUCUGGAGGAAUACCGAUGGCGAAGGCAGCUUCCUGGCAUCAUACUGACACUGAGGCUCGAAAGCGUGGGUAGCAAA
RNAcentral lists this ribosomal RNA (427 nucleotides) under Psychrobacter celer. RNAcentral's name for it is "bacterial SSU rRNA". It matches the Rfam family "Bacterial small subunit ribosomal RNA", at positions 353 to 772 of the family's 1533-position model. The record is from RNAcentral. Lineage: Bacteria; Pseudomonadati; Pseudomonadota; Gammaproteobacteria; Moraxellales; Moraxellaceae.